AUAAUUGCAUUAAUGAGAAAUUUAACAGGUGUUCCUAAUAAUCCUUUAGAUGAGUGUAUAUAUAUAACAACUUUUCCCGGGCUGACUGCCAUGGUAAAAAAGCAUCUAAACAUUUUGACCAGUAUGGCACACACAAUGACAAAAAAAAUAUAAUUUUGGUGGCACUGGCCAAUUUACAAUAACUAGGUUUUGAAAUAUGAAUGGAAUGUUUUGGUCGAGUAACUACAUUUUACAGACAUGCCAGAGUUUUGAUGUCCCAUGAAAAGGUGAUGAUUGCACUUACAGUUUAGAGAAUGUUGAGCCAAAGCGAUUGAGAAAAAUUGGAAGCCAGUAUUUUGUGUGGCUAAAAUUUAAGUUAUUUGCAUCGUGGUUAAUUCUUCCAUGAUUUGCCAUAUAUUUUAUUUUGACUUGGGCUGCUUCAAGUUAUUUUCCUGUUAAAGUGGUCCCACAGAAUUUUGAUUAUUUUGAGGUAAGGGAUUUGAGGUGGGCAACCGUGUAUUCCAUCUGCAUAUUAUAAGUAUCCGAGUUGUAGUACUUGAGACCACAUAACUCGAAUGCAUUUUUACUUGAUCUCGUUCAUUGAGGUCUCGUAAUUUUUCACAAGUCUAGUCAUGAAAAGUAAGAAGUAUUUUAGUUCCACAAUGAAGCCCACUUCAUUUUUGUUUCUAGCGAGGCUUGCAAUAGUUUUUUUCUGUUCCGCUUUAGCUGUGAGAUGAUUUGGGGGAAAGGCGCAACUGUUCCCUCCUAUGUAACUGUCAAGGGAGACCAGUACUGUAGAUUAAAAUGAGAGCGAAGUGGCGUGAGAAAUCCAGUCAUAUCAGCGAAGUCUGCAAUUGUCCGGUUCACCUUCCAACAACACACUGAAUUUCUGUGUAAAAAUAAAUUAGUGGCAUUUGCAAGUUCUGCAAAAUUAAAAUAACUGAGAUAGUAGGGACAACAUCCAAUUUUUAUUGUCACUUGGAGAAAACACAAGGAAAGGUAAGUUGACAUAAACUAGCUAGUUAAAAGUUAGCUUGCCAAAUUUCGUACGCUUGCUAACAUUAAGUAAUUCCCCAGCCUUUGAAUGCUGGCCACUUACUUUAACUGUAGUUGAGCUAGAUAUUGCUCCAUAGUGUGAACAGGUGCCCACACCUGCUAAUUAGCUAACUGAAGCACGGUAGAUGGUUUGUGAUUCAUCUAACCUUUUGGAUAGUACUACCAAAGACUCAUGCUUUUGCCACACCACACUUGAAUGUGUUGAGUUUGCACUGUGUCUGUAACUAAAACUUCCUUGUUUUACGUCAUAUAUACAGAACCUAUGUAAUUAUUAUGAAUGUGCAGCCAAACGUUUUUUUUUGGUUUAGUUUUAUCUAACAGUACAAAAUGUCACCAUUUAGUUUUAGGGUAUUUUCAGAGGUACUAUUUUGUAUUAAAAACAAAUAGUGAAGUGUAAAUUUUUUUGGCGUCAACCUCCUCUCUUUAUUAAGAAACAUUUAUAUGUAAUUCUCUGUAUGCCUAUCAAUAAUUAGUCAAGACGGUCUUGGUCUUGACUCGGUCCCUACCCCCCAAGGUCUUGGUUUUGACUUGGUCCCUACCCCCCAAGGUCUUGGUCUUGACUCAAACUCGAGUUGCUAUAGUCUUGGUCUUGACUCUGUCUCAACCACCAACAGUCUUGGUCUUGGCUCAGUCUCGCUUCACAUGGUCUUGACUACAAAAAUGCUAAGGAUGUCUUACUCACCUUUGCAGAGUGUUUGGGGUCAUUAUCGUGUUGGUAAAUAAUGUUUUUGAUGAGAUGGCAUUUCUUUUAAGACUUCUCAAAGUGGUGCCAGAUCACUUUGCAAGAUGUUGAACAAGCAUUUAAUUGGAUUUCCUUCUGUUUCUCUGGGAAGUGACAUCUGUUCAUCAGAUGCAGACAGACUUUUGGGUCUUCCGUUGCAUUUUCCGUCUUCAACUGUUUUCAUGAAGUAAUUACAAUAAACAAUUACUUCAUGAAGUAAUUGUUUAUUGUAUAUACAUAUAAAUACAGUAAAUUAAUUUUUACUUGUAUUCAUUGUCAUGUUAUAUUGUGUUUUAAUGAGCAAAGAAAAACCUACUGCCCAGAUAAAUAGCGUUAAACAUAAUUUUUAGGUGGCUUAAGAUUUUGCACAGUACUGUGUAUCUUCUAAUUAAUCAAACUCCCUUCAAUAGAUAUAAUGAAGGCAAGAUGAGAGGUGUAGCGAAGCACUGUGUGAGGGAGGAUUGUUUUGGAGUUGAGGGAGAGGGUACUGUCUUUGCUUUGUUUUUUUGGUUCACAUUUUGUUUCUUUCACUUUUGUUUUUCUUUCACUUGUUUGAACAGAAGACAAAUACACUCCCAGUAUGUUUUUGUUGGAAUUCCUGUGCUGUUCAACUGUGUUAGAUAAAACAUAUUUCAAACAAAAUAAAUGACCCUUUGCAAAGAA
Esox lucius (northern pike) is the source of this 2419-nucleotide long non-coding RNA. RefSeq lists it as uncharacterized. The transcript is spliced from 2 exons. Lineage: Eukaryota; Metazoa; Chordata; Actinopteri; Esociformes; Esocidae. The record is from RefSeq and is a predicted model, not a curated record.